This is a non-coding RNA of Acanthosepion pharaonis, 90 nucleotides long. The record is from the annotation of a GenBank genome assembly. NCBI's taxonomy places the organism in Eukaryota, Metazoa, Mollusca, Cephalopoda, Sepiida, Sepiidae.
UGUUCACAUAUGAUCACUGAAAGUUAAGCAAUGUUGAACCUGGUCAGUACCUAGAUGGGUGACCACUUGGGAAUACCUGGUACUGUCAGC